GUUACUUCUGUAUGUGCACUGUA
RNAcentral lists this non-coding RNA (23 nucleotides) under Cricetulus griseus (Chinese hamster). The record is from RNAcentral. Lineage: Eukaryota; Metazoa; Chordata; Mammalia; Rodentia; Cricetidae.